AGAGUUUGAUCAUGGCUCAGAGUGAACGUUGGCGGCGUGGAUUAGGCAUGCAAGUCGAACGCGAAAGUUCCUUCGGGAAUUAGUAGCGUGGCGAAAGGGGCAGUAAGGCAUAAGCAACCUACCCUUCGGACUGGGAUAUACGGUGGAAACGCCGGGCAAUACUGGACAUCGUCAUUGGGGGGCAUCUUCCGAUGAUGAAACGGUCUUCCGCCGGAGGAGGGGCUUAUGUGCUACCAGCUAGUUGGUGAGGUAAUGGCUCACCAAGGCGACGACGGCUAGGGGGUGUGAGAGCACGACCCCCGCCACUGGCACUGAGACACUGGCCAGACUCCUACGGGAGGCUGCAGUCGAGAAUCUUCGGCAAUGGGGGCAACCCUGACCGAGCGACGCCGCGUGGUGGAAGAAGGCCUUCGGGUUGUAAACACCUGUUGGGGGGGAACAAUUUUGAGUGAACCCCUGAGGAAGCACGGGCUAAGUUCGUGCCAGCAGCCGCGGUAAGACGAACCGUGCGAACGUUACUCGGAAUCACUGGGCUUAAAGCGCACGUAGGCGGCAGCAUAAGUCAGAGGUGAAAUCCCACGGCUCAACCGUGGAACUGCCUCUGAUACUGUGUUGCUCGAGGGGGAACGGGGCAUCUGGAACUUCCGGUGGAGCGGUGAAAUGUGUUGAUAUCGGAAGGAACGCCGGUGGCGAAAGCGAGAUGCUGGGUCUCUUCUGACGCUGAGGUGCGAAAGCUAGGGUAGCGAACGGGAUUAGAUACCCUGGUAGUCC
RNAcentral lists this ribosomal RNA (771 nucleotides) under uncultured prokaryote. RNAcentral describes it as "bacterial SSU rRNA". It matches the Rfam family "Bacterial small subunit ribosomal RNA", at positions 8 to 796 of the family's 1533-position model. The record is from RNAcentral.